UGGCGACCGGCGCACGGGUGAGUAACACGUAUCCAACCUGCCGAUGACUCGGGGAUAGCCUUUCGAAAGAAAGAUUAAUACCCGAUGGCAUAGUUCUUCCGCAUGGUAGAACUAUUAAAGAAUUUCGGUCAUCGAUGGGGAUGCGUUCCAUUAGGUUGUUGGCGGGGUAACGGCCCACCAAGCCUUCGAUGGAUAGGGGUUCUGAGAGGAAGGUCCUCCACAUGGAACUGAGACACGGUCCAAACUCCUACGGGAGGCAGCAUG
This 264-nucleotide ribosomal RNA is filed under the name uncultured bacterium. RNAcentral's name for it is "partial 16S ribosomal RNA". It matches the Rfam family "Bacterial small subunit ribosomal RNA", at positions 89 to 353 of the family's 1533-position model. The record is from RNAcentral.